Long non-coding RNA from Quercus robur (English oak), 1724 nucleotides. RefSeq lists it as uncharacterized. The record is from RefSeq and is a predicted model, not a curated record. Lineage: Eukaryota; Viridiplantae; Streptophyta; Magnoliopsida; Fagales; Fagaceae. The transcript has 3 exons.
ACGUCCCAGUCAGCUCUAAAAAAAAAAGGGGGUCAAGAUAAGAUAUUUUGUUUUUGGUUUUCCACGUGCCAAGCCCCACCUAACCCCACUACCCACCUCACAAUCACUCUAUCUUAUCUUCUUUGGCUGGCUCAGUCCCUACUUCUUUUUUCUUUCUUUUUCUUCUCUUUCAUUUUUGGUAGAACACUCUCUUCACUCCUUCAAACUCUCCAUCGGUACUUCCACACCACCACCAUCACCAUUUCUACCAUCAUUUUUUUGGCAAGAUUACCGGAAAAUUCUUGGGAACCCAUAAACACCUUCACAUCCUUUUUUUGAGGUAAAAAUUUCUCAUCUUUUUGGUGGGUUUUCUCACCACCCUCCAUGACCAAACCUCCAAGCUCCCAUAUCUCUUUCCUCAUUUCUCUCUCUCUCUUUCUAGUCGAGAACUCCUUGUUGAGGAUUAUGUCUCCAUUGGUUUUCCUAGUAGCUAAGUUGUAACGUCCCAGUCAGCUCUAAAAAAAAAGAGGUCAAGAUCAGAUAUUUUGUUUUUGGUUUUCCACGUGCCAAGCCCCACCUACCCCACUACCCACCUCACAAUCACUCUAUCUUAUCUUCUUUGGCUGGCUCAGUCCCUACUUCUCUUUUCUUUCUUUUUGUUCUCUUUCAUUUUUGGUAGAACACUCUCUUCACUCCUUUAAACUCUCCAUCGGUACUUCCACACCACCACCAUCACCAUUUCUACCAUCAUUUUUUCGGCAAGAUCACCGGAAAAUUCUUGGGAACCCAUAAACACCUUCACAUCCUUUUUUUGAGGUUCUAGCUAAUCUCCUUGGAGGUUGGAGAAUUAGGAUUUUGUGGUUGCAAGUGAUCACCCGAUUUGGUUUUAGUAGUCUUUGUGAUAACGGAAUCAAAUCCAGGUUAGUGCCCUUUCACUUUGAAUGACACAUUCUUCCCUGCUGUCCAUGGAGGGAAGAGGUUCCUUGAUUGUGUAUGGGUGAGACUGCUGCCCAUGGGGCCAAGAGACCACAUGCAAGAGAGGUCCUAUUUGACGCGCUCUCUCUGUUGCCCAUGGGGUGGGGGGGGAGAGAAAAACCUUGAAGGUAUGGGUGAGACUGCUGUCCAUGGGGCCAAGAGUUUGCAUACCAAAGAGGACAAUAUCAUGCUAGUUGUGAAUGGGUGGGUCCCUUGACAGGUCUAUGUGGUAGUUUGGUAUAUUUGUGAUAAUUUACCUUACGUUAGAUAUUAUGGUUUUGGAAAUUAUAUUGUUGGUACUCACAGAUUAUAGUAUAUAGUUUCAAGGUAUUUACUUUGAGAAACUUUUUGUUUCAUUAUUAGAUAAUUCUUAUCAGAUUAUUAUUAUUGAAUAUGAAACUUGCUUUUCCUCCACCCCCAUUAAAUAUGCUACUUACUGGGCUCUGUCUCAUCCCAUUAUUUUAUAAACUUUUCAGAGUAGGUAACAAUCUUUUGAGAGAGUUUUUUGGUGGCUAAUAGUAGUUAGACUAACUACUGAUGGAGGCUGAACUUUUGUAUUGGAGAUAUUAGAUGUUGUACAUCUUAAAGUAGCCUUGACUCAUUCGUUUGUGUAUUAUAGUGGUUGUGACUUUAUUCCCACUAAUGGGACAUGCUAUUGAUGUGUAAUUAUUUAUUUAGACCUCUAUUAUUUUGUGGCCAAUGGUCAUUGUAAUUCAUGCUUAGAGCUUUGACUUACUUUGAGAGUAUAUUCAAUGGAAUUAUUAUGAUAA